Molecule: ribosomal RNA, 801 nt
Filed under: uncultured bacterium
Lineage: Bacteria
Description: bacterial SSU rRNA
Rfam family: Bacterial small subunit ribosomal RNA
Source: RNAcentral
CUGCUUUGCUGACGAGUGGCGGACGGGUGAGUAAUGUCUGGGAAACUGCCUGAUGGAGGGGGAUAACUACUGGAAACGGUAGCUAAUACCGCAUAACGUCGCAAGACCAAAGAGGGGGACCUUCGGGCCUCUUGCCAUCGGAUGUGCCCAGAUGGGAUUAGCUAGUAGGUGGGGUAACGGCUCACCUAGGCGACGAUCCCUAGCUGGUCUGAGAGGAUGACCAGCCACACUGGAACUGAGACACGGUCCAGACUCCUACGGGAGGCAGCAGUGGGGAAUAUUGCACAAUGGGCGCAAGCCUGAUGCAGCCAUGCCGCGUGUAUGAAGAAGGCCUUCGGGUUGUAAAGUACUUUCAGCGGGGAGGAAGGCGAUAAGGUUAAUAACCUUGUCGAUUGACGUUACCCGCAGAAGAAGCACCGGCUAACUCCGUGCCAGCAGCCGCGGUAAUACGGAGGGUGCAAGCGUUAAUCGGAAUUACUGGGCGUAAAGCGCACGCAGGCGGUCUGUCAAGUCGGAUGUGAAAUCCCCGGGCUCAACCUGGGAACUGCAUUCGAAACUGGCAGGCUAGAGUCUUGUAGAGGGGGGUAGAAUUCCAGGUGUAGCGGUGAAAUGCGUAGAGAUCUGGAGGAAUACCGGUGGCGAAGGCGGCCCCCUGGACAAAGACUGACGCUCAGGUGCGAAAGCGUGGGGGGCAAACAGGAUUAGAUACCCUGGUAGUCCACGCCGUAAACGAUGUCGACUUGGAGGUUGUGCCCUUGAGGCGUGGCUUCCGGAGCUAACGCGUUAAGUCGACCGCCUGGG